GCCAUUUCUUCAAGGAUCCCUGGUUUCUUUUAGUGCUAAGUGGUACUUAGAAGCCAAGAUCUGAGCACCAGAUGUGCUCAUUGCCUUGGGGAAAGUGCCACUCCCAGGCCUUUUCAGGGGACACAUUUAGAGAACAUUAGUAUAUACAUACCUACAUGUUCCUAUUUAAACUUCUGUAUCUAUUGAAAUCCAUGACAUCAUACAGAUGCCUCCAAUUCUAACAAUACUGUAGGGCUCCAUCCUUCUCUUGACAUUGAGGAACUGGGUCUCACUAGCUCUAAGAUAUUUAAAUUAUUUGAUCAAUCUCCCUGUAUGUAACCAAUCUCUCAUCACCACUGCUGCCCCUCUCCCACAUGGACAUCCUCUUUGCACUCCUAAGGCUCUGACACUUCACACCUGGCUGCUCCUAUCAUAGAUGCCCCCUUUACCCUGUUUGAGCUCCAACACCCUCUGCUGGCUUGCCCGCACUGCCAUGGACAUCCUUCUCUCUCGUACUGCAUUCUAGGCUGCCCUCACAGAUGGAUGCUCUCCACACCUCACUUGGGCUCCAGCACUCAACACUGGACCUCCUCUGUGGCGUGGGAAUGCUCUACCCUACCUAGCUCUGACCCACCACUCUGGGCUACCCACAUAUGUUUUAAAAGUUAAUAGAAGUGGAAUUUGAACCUGAGAUGUAAAAAUGAGCCAAGAACAAGGUCUCAGAAAGCCUCCUGGUAACUUCUGUCUAUUGAUUUACUAAAAGAGGAAGAAAAACAUCAUAAAAACAAAAGAUGAAGAGGAAAUCUUCACUUUUUUUAGACUUUUCCAUCUUCAUGUCUGUUGUCAAGUAUUUUGUCAAGAAAUGCAUUAUAACCUCAUUUAAAAAAAUAAACAGAACUUAUGAAGCAAUUCUCUUGGAGAAUAACUGGAAUAGUUUCUAGCGAUGUUUCAAAAGACAGACUCACCUGCCUGGUGUUUUUGUAGGUCUGGUGAUGGUCUGUGUUCAGCUGAGCAGAAUGAAACAGCGCUGACAGACAGAAGACACCUCACCCUCUGUCUUUCACUUUGGCAAAGUGGGCAUCUGAUUUACAGGACUGGGAAAUAAAACACACACACAAAACCUAUACCUCUUUUGGCUUACCGUAUGUUGUUUCAUCAUCAACUGGCUCACUUAACCAUGAAUGUGAAAGGUUGAAAAGCUUAUUUAAAUGUGGGCUACUGAACUUUCCUGGGGCUACAAGAACUGAUACUUUGUUCAGCCAUUACACUCAGUGAAACUCUCUUUUUAAAUGAACCUCGUUUCACAUUAUACAAACUGGACCAGACUGGCUGGAAAGGGCAGGAGGCUCCCUGUGCAGGCCCACGGUGGAAGGGGGCCAGCGUGAUUGCAGACAGGGUCCCCCUCUGCUGGAAAGCUUCCAAUUCUCUAACUACCAGCAUCUUCCAUUUUCCCUAUUAGCUUUCUCCUGUGAUAAUUUUUCUACUUUUACCUUGUAAACCAAAAAUAAGAUUCACAGCCCCCUGACCAUCUGAACGGACCCCUCCUCUUGGCAAGGGCAUUCCAAAGCUAACCUGAAAAACUAGCUCAGGCCAUGAUGGGAAAGAGGAGCUGGACAUGCCUCGUUAUGCCCUAUUCCCUUUUGGAAUUA
Molecule: long non-coding RNA, 1628 nt
Filed under: Homo sapiens (human)
Lineage: Eukaryota; Metazoa; Chordata; Mammalia; Primates; Hominidae
Description: HSALNT0140617
Source: RNAcentral